CAGCAGCCGCGGGAAUACGAAGGGGGCUAGCGUUGCUCGGAAUGACUGGGCGUAAAGGGCGCGUAGGCGGUUUUGACGGUCAGAUGUGAAAUUCCUGGGCUUAACCUGGGGGCUGCAUUUGAGACGUCAAGACUAGAGUGUGAGAGAGGGUUGUGGAAUUCCCAGUGUAGAGGUGAAAUUCGUAGAUAUUGGGAAGAACACCGGUGGCGAAGGCGGCAACCUGGCUCAUUACUGACGCUGAGGCGCGAAAGCGUGGGGAGCAAACAGGAUUAGAUACCCCCGUAGUCCCUGUCUCUUAUAC
Molecule: ribosomal RNA, 301 nt
Filed under: uncultured bacterium
Lineage: Bacteria
Description: partial 16S ribosomal RNA
Rfam family: Bacterial small subunit ribosomal RNA
Source: RNAcentral